This 77-nucleotide transfer RNA is filed under the name Coprobacillus cateniformis. Its description in RNAcentral is "tRNA-Asn". It matches the Rfam family "tRNA". Rfam says of the family: Transfer RNA (tRNA) molecules are approximately 80 nucleotides in length. Lineage: Bacteria; Bacillati; Bacillota; Erysipelotrichia; Erysipelotrichales; Coprobacillaceae. The record is from RNAcentral.
GGACCUUUAGCUCAGUUGGUUAGAGCGAUGCGCUGUUAACGUAAGGGUCACAGGUUCAAGUCCUGUAGGGUCCGCCA